UACAGAGGUCUCAAGCGUUGUUCGGAUUCAUUGGGCGUAAAGGGUGCGUAGGCGGCGCGGUAAGUCGGGUGUGAAAUCCUUCGGCUCAACCGAAGAACGUCGGCCGAUACUGCUGUUCUUGAGGGAUGCAGAGGAGAUUGGAAUUCCCGGUGUAGCGGUGAAAUGUGUAGAGAUCGGGAGGAACACCGGUGGCGAAGGCGGGUCUCUGGGCAUUUCCUGACGCUGAGGCGCGAAAGCGUGGGGAGCAAGCGGG
RNAcentral lists this ribosomal RNA (253 nucleotides) under uncultured bacterium. RNAcentral's name for it is "partial 16S ribosomal RNA". It matches the Rfam family "Bacterial small subunit ribosomal RNA", at positions 524 to 776 of the family's 1533-position model. The record is from RNAcentral.